AUGAAGAAAGAGAAAUAAUUAGUGAAAUCGGAGAGAUGUUUGAUUUUGGAAUUCCUGAUGGGCACCUUCUCAACAUAUAAGUGGCUCGACCAACUUGGCCCAUGUAAUCGACGCUGUUAAAUUCAACACUUCCAGCAAUAGGUGCUGAAGCAAUCACAAUAAAUAACAGAUCAGUUGUUGCACAAAAUAGAUUAGCGUAAUCAGAUUUUUGAACAUGGUGACAGUUUUGCAAUUUGCUGUAUCAAUUUGACAUACUUGUGUCUUAGUAGAGUAAUUUUCAAGUACCCCACUUGCCACUUGUCUCAGCUGUGCAUUCAUGCCCUGAGUUCUACUAAA
Long non-coding RNA from Hevea brasiliensis (rubber tree), 336 nucleotides. RefSeq lists it as uncharacterized. The transcript is spliced from 2 exons. The record is from RefSeq and is a predicted model, not a curated record. NCBI's taxonomy places the organism in Eukaryota, Viridiplantae, Streptophyta, Magnoliopsida, Malpighiales, Euphorbiaceae.